GUCCAGCUGACGAAUCUCAAAUAGGACGAAACGAGCGUCGAAUUGGAU
Molecule: non-coding RNA, 48 nt
Filed under: Schistosoma mattheei
Lineage: Eukaryota; Metazoa; Platyhelminthes; Trematoda; Strigeidida; Schistosomatidae
Source: RNAcentral